Molecule: ribosomal RNA, 465 nt
Filed under: Vreelandella stevensii
Lineage: Bacteria; Pseudomonadati; Pseudomonadota; Gammaproteobacteria; Oceanospirillales; Halomonadaceae
Description: partial 16S ribosomal RNA
Rfam family: Bacterial small subunit ribosomal RNA
Source: RNAcentral
CCUACGGGGUGCAGCAGUGGGGAAUAUUGGACAAUGGGCGAAAGCCUGAUCCAGCCAUGCCGCGUGUGUGAAGAAGGCCUUCGGGUUGUAAAGCACUUUCAGUGGGGAAGAAAGCCUUGGGGCUAAUACCCUCGAGGAAGGACAUCACCCACAGAAGAAGCACCGGCUAACUCCGUGCCAGCAGCCGCGGUAAUACGGAGGGUGCGAGCGUUAAUCGGAAUUACUGGGCGUAAAGCGCGCGUAGGCGGUCUGAUAAGCCGGUUGUGAAAGCCCCGGGCUCAACCUGGGAACGGCAUCCGGAACUGUCAGGCUAGAGUGCAGGAGAGGAAGGUAGAAUUCCCGGUGUAGCGGUGAAAUGCGUAGAGAGCGGGAGGAAUACCAGUGGCGAAGGCGGCCUUCUGGACUGACACUGACGCUGAGGUGCGAAAGCGUGGGUAGCAAACAGGAUUAGAUACCCCAGUAGUC